RNAcentral lists this ribosomal RNA (675 nucleotides) under uncultured bacterium. Its description in RNAcentral is "bacterial SSU rRNA". It matches the Rfam family "Bacterial small subunit ribosomal RNA", at positions 205 to 883 of the family's 1533-position model. The record is from RNAcentral.
AGGUAUUCCGGUAGACGAUGGGGAUGCGUUCCAUUAGAUAGUAGGCGGGGUAACGGCCCACCUAGUCUUCGAUGGAUAGGGGUUCUGAGAGGAAGGUCCCCCACAUUGGAACUGAGACACGGUCCAAACUCCUACGGGAGGCAGCAGUGAGGAAUAUUGGUCAAUGGGCGAGAGCCUGAACCAGCCAAGUAGCGUGAAGGAUGACUGCCCUAUGGGUUGUAAACUUCUUUUAUAAAGGAAUAAAGUCGGGUAUGCAUACCCGUUUGCAUGUACUUUAUGAAUAAGGAUCGGCUAACUCCGUGCCAGCAGCCGCGGUAAUACGGAGGAUCCGAGCGUUAUCCGGAUUUAUUGGGUUUAAAGGGAGCGUAGAUGGAUGUUUAAGUCAGUUGUGAAAGUUUGCGGCUCAACCGUAAAAUUGCAGUUGAUACUGGAUAUCUUGAGUGCAGUUGAGGCAGGCGGAAUUCGUGGUGUAGCGGUGAAAUGCUUAGAUAUCACGAAGAACUCCGAUUGCGAAGGCAGCCUGCUAAGCUGCAACUGACAUUGAGGCUCGAAAGUGUGGGUAUCAAACAGGAUUAGAUACCCUGGUAGUCCACACGGUAAACGAUGAAUACUCGCUGUUUGCGAUAUACAGCAAGCGGCCAAGCGAAAGCGUUAAGUAUUCCACCUGGGGAGUAC